This 694-nucleotide ribosomal RNA is filed under the name uncultured bacterium. RNAcentral's name for it is "bacterial SSU rRNA". It matches the Rfam family "Bacterial small subunit ribosomal RNA", at positions 64 to 753 of the family's 1533-position model. The record is from RNAcentral.
CGACGGCAGCACGGGAGCAAUCCUGGUGGCGAGUGGCGAACGGGUGAGUAAUGUAUCGGAACGUACCUUUCAGUGGGGGAUAACGUAGCGAAAGUUACGCUAAUACCGCAUAUUCUGUGAGCAGGAAAGCAGGGGAUCGCAAGACCUUGCGCUGAUUGAGCGGCCGAUAUCAGAUUAGCUAGUUGGUGAGGUAAAGGCUCGCCAAGGCGACGAUCUGUAGCGGGUCUGAGAGGAUGAUCCGCCACACUGGAACUGAGACACGGUCCAGACUCCUACGGGAGGCAGCAGUGGGGAAUUUUGGACAAUGGGCGCAAGCCUGAUCCAGCCAUGCCGCGUGAGUGAAGAAGGCCUUCGGGUUGUAAAGCUCUUUCAGCCGGGAAGAAAACGCAUGGGUUAAUACCCUGUGUGGAUGACGGUACCGGAAUAAGAAGCACCGGCUAACUACGUGCCAGCAGCCGCGGUAAUACGUAGGGUGCGAGCGUUAAUCGGAAUUACUGGGCGUAAAGCGUGCGCAGGCGGUUUGUUAAGAUAGGCGUGAAAUCCCCGGGCUCAACCUGGGAACUGCGUUUAUGACUGGCAGGCUAGAGUAUGGCAGAGGGGGGUGGUAUUCCACGUGUAGCAGUGAAAUGCGUAGAGAUGUGGAGGAACACCGAUGGCGAAGGCAGCCCCCUGGGCCAAUACUGACGCUCAUGCA